CCUACGGGAGGCAGCAGUGGGGAAUAUUGGACAAUGGGCGGAAGCCUGAUCCAGCAACGCCGCGUGAGGGAUGACGGCCUUCGGGUUGUAAACCUCUUUCAGUAGGGACGAAGCGAAAGUGACGGUACCUACAGAAGAAGCACCGGCCAACUACGUGCCAGCAGCCGCGGUAAUACGUAGGGUGCGAGCGUUGUCCGGAAUUAUUGGGCGUAAAGGGCUCGUAGGCGGUUUGUCGCGUCGGGAGUGAAAACCCAGGGCUUAACCCUGGGCUGGCUUUCGAUACGGGCAGACUAGAGGUAUGCAGGGGAGAACGGAAUUCCUGGUGUAGCGGUGAAAUGCGCAGAUAUCAGGAGGAACACCGGUGGCGAAGGCGGUUCUCUGGGCAUUACCUGACGCUGAGGAGCGGAAGUGUGGGGAGCGGAACAGGGAUUAGGAUACCCUGGUAGUCCACACCGUAAACGUUGGGCGCUAGGUGUGGGGUCCAUUCCACGGAUUCCGUGCCGCAGCACGCAUAGCGCCGCCGUCGGAGUACGCGCGAGACGUAACUACAAUAGAUAGACGCGUGAGACGNGCGACGACGACGACGAGGGAGUAGG
RNAcentral lists this ribosomal RNA (596 nucleotides) under uncultured bacterium. RNAcentral's name for it is "bacterial SSU rRNA". The stretch from base 1 to 525 matches the Rfam family "Bacterial small subunit ribosomal RNA", at positions 338 to 873 of the family's 1533-position model. The record is from RNAcentral.